RNAcentral lists this unclassified non-coding RNA (294 nucleotides) under Hevea brasiliensis (rubber tree). The record is from RNAcentral. Lineage: Eukaryota; Viridiplantae; Streptophyta; Magnoliopsida; Malpighiales; Euphorbiaceae.
UCCAAGAAACUCCACCAACCGAGGAACACAACCCCUUUCAAUUACUUCAUGAAUUGGAGGGUUCUCAAUAGACAAUAGAAAGCUGAGCUUAGCAGUUGCUGCGUAUUGAAAACAAAGUUGACCACUGGACAAAUCACUUGCCAUUACAGCAAUAUUUUUCAGCAUCUCUUGCAAAGCAAUAGGAUUCCCAGAAGCCUCUUCUAUAUGUUUAUCCACGUUGAUUAUCGUGUCGUAUCUUUUAAAGCAGAGAAUGGUAUCUCGCUCCAGUUUCCUUAUCUUCUCUAAACCUUCAAG